This is a long non-coding RNA of Oncorhynchus tshawytscha (Chinook salmon), 422 nucleotides long. NCBI's taxonomy places the organism in Eukaryota, Metazoa, Chordata, Actinopteri, Salmoniformes, Salmonidae. The record is from Ensembl.
CUCUCUGUGGACCAGGAAGCUGUGAAUCAGCUUUUCCAACAAAAACUUAGUGUGUGUCAAGGCGAUACAGGGAGGACUGUUAACCAUGUGCUACAGUGGCUAGGGUUCCCCAUCAUUCCCAGGGCCUCCCAUCACUGUCUUUCUGUCUGUGGUGCCACCCAUCACUGGCUGAGGAGGAGAGGGCCUCCCAUCACUGGCAGAGGAGGAGAGGGCCUCCCAUCACUGGCAGAGGAAGGAGAGGGCCACCCAUCACUGGCUGAGGAGGAGAGGGCCACCCAUCACUGGCUGAGGAGGAGAGGGCCACCCAUCACUGGCUGAGGAGGAGAGGGCCACCCAUCACUGGCUGAGGAGGAGAGGGCCACCCAUCACUGGCUGAGGAGGAGAGGGCCACCCAUCACUGGCUGAGGAGGAGAGGGCCACCC